AAAAGUUCUAUAAAAUUGUUUUUUUUUUUAUUUUUUUACUUUUUUAAUUUUUAUUUAUCUUUUUAUAUUAACUUUAAAAAAAAUAAAUUAAAAAGGUUGUUAAAUUUAUUAAUAAUUAUGUAAAAUUUUAAUUAAUAAUUUGCAUAUGUUUUCUACUGUAAUUUUAAAAAAUAAAAAAUGUAAAUAUUUUUUUUUUUUUUUUUUGAGAAAAGGUAGCAUGCUACCCGCUUCAUUCAUUCGGGAGGUGAAUUAAGCUACAUGGGUGAGGCAACAAGGCCUNAUAAAAUCAAAAUUUUGAAAGAUUGGAUAGCCAACUCAAAAUGAUCCGAAAUUCAGAUUAGUUCUCGAUGGUUUUACCAUAAAAAAAAAUGUGAAUAUAUUGUUUGAAACAUCUACCUAACCUUUUAUUCAUUCCAUUUGAACCAUUAGAUAAAAUUUUUGGUAGCAAAUUCUAAUACUUCACUUAUCUUACAGUACUUACCAUCUCAUAUGAUUUGUUGGAGAACCAUUUAAUUUGAAUGAACAAUGCUUCCAAAUUUUGUAACAAAGAAAAAAACCGUCGAAUAGUUAAAAUUAAACAAAUUGCAAUGGUAGAUAGAAAAAAUUUUAAUUUUAAAAAUUUCGUAGUUGUUCCAAAAUGAGUCCGAUAUGCUACGCAUAUUUUUACCCAAUAUAUCUUGCUAAAAGGGUCCUAAAAUAUUCCUUUCUAGUACUCUUCCUUUGUACUACUUUUUAUAAAUAUUUGUAAAUUUAUGUUUUCUUUUUAUUUAGGAUUAUGUCGAUGGCCUCUGAUUUGAGCUCAGAAGCAGUAGUCCCAAGAUCGGUUCCGGUUCGCGUCGCCCACGAGCUCCUCCAAGCAGGGCAUCGAUAUCUCGAUGUCAGGUAUAAUGUAAUUAGUUUCAACAAUUUAAUCAAAACUUACCGACUGUCCCUAGCGCAAGUGGCAAAAGGUUUGAUGGUUGGUACCUGAGGUCUCAAGUUCGAAUUCUAGUUGAUUCACAUUUCUAGCUAAGUUUAUUUCUAAAUUGAAUAAAUAAAGCGGGUAGUAUACUACCUAUCUCUGAAAAAAAAAUAAUAAUGAAAACUUAUUAACUUUGAUAGGAAUUGCGUCAUGUGUCAACUUGUGAUGCAAUUGGAAUCUAUGCUUCUAAAAUAUUUUUUUUUUUUUUUUUUGAGAAAAUGUAGCAUGCUACCCGCUUCAUUCAUUCGGGAGGUGAAUUAAGCUACAUGGGUGAGGCAACAAGGCCUCUAGGCAAACGGAGACAAAAAGGAAAAGACAGGGAAAUAGGUGUUGUGAGUAAAGUACAGUCGAUGCCUCUAUACGGUCUACGAGUUCUAACUACAGAUCUACCGAUCUACAGAUCAGUACUACUCCACUGAGCUAACAGGUGUUUGAUCUUAUGAGUACCACGGAUCGGAUCCGCCUGGGCCUUCGCAAAAAUGACACCAUUCCUAGUCUCCCAAAUCACCCACCAACAAGCUAUGAUACCGGUUAGGUCGUUAUCCGAGCCCCUCCGCCCUUUCCAUAAAUCCCACAUCCGGUGUACGUCAGCUCCCAAAUCUUCUG
This 1567-nucleotide long non-coding RNA is filed under the name Ananas comosus (pineapple). Its description in RNAcentral is "long non-coding RNA (ACOM_LNC031030)". The record is from RNAcentral. Lineage: Eukaryota; Viridiplantae; Streptophyta; Magnoliopsida; Poales; Bromeliaceae.